Molecule: microRNA, 18 nt
Filed under: Corchorus capsularis
Lineage: Eukaryota; Viridiplantae; Streptophyta; Magnoliopsida; Malvales; Malvaceae
Description: sRNA CCACVL1_10426
Source: RNAcentral
GGGAUUCUCUAGCUUCAU